Molecule: long non-coding RNA, 237 nt
Filed under: Elaeis guineensis (African oil palm)
Lineage: Eukaryota; Viridiplantae; Streptophyta; Magnoliopsida; Arecales; Arecaceae
Description: long non-coding RNA (EGUI_LNC031745)
Source: RNAcentral
UCUCCCUCCAAAUUUCCACCUAUGUAAUGCUCCAACCUGUGGCCAUUAACCUUGAAGGUACCUUUUGAUUCAUGAGAGAUCUCCACUGCUCUAUAUGGGUAGACUUUAGUAACAGUAUAGAGACAUAUCCAUCUUGAUUUCAGCUUUUCUGAGAACAAAUAUAGCUGUAAACUAUAUAAGAGAACUUACCAUCCCACAUAGAAUUCUCUCAUUACAAUAUUUUUAUCAUACCACUUC